GUGGGGAAUUUUGCGCAAUGGGCGAAAGCCUGACGCAGCAACGCCGCGUGUGUGAUGAAGGCCCUCGGGUUGUAAAGCACUGUUCAGAGGGAAGAACAAGCGGGGGUAACGCCUCGACCUGACGGUACCUCUGAAGGAAGCACCGGCUAACUCCGUGCCAGCAGCCGCGGUAAUACGGAGGGUGCUAGCGUUGUUCGGAAUCAUUGGGCGUAAAGGGCGUCUAGGUGGCUGUUCAAGUCAGAUGUGAAAUGCCUCGGCUCAACCGAGGAAGUGCAUUUGAAACUGGAUGGCUCGAGUGUCGGAGGGGGCAGCGGAAUUCCCGGUGUAGAGGUGAAAUUCGUAGAUAUCGGGAGGAACACCAGCGGCGAAGGCGGCUGCCUGGCCGACUACUGACACUGAAGCGCGAAAGCGUGGGGAGCAAACAGGAUUAGAAACCCCUGUAGUCC
Molecule: ribosomal RNA, 446 nt
Filed under: uncultured bacterium
Lineage: Bacteria
Description: bacterial SSU rRNA
Rfam family: Bacterial small subunit ribosomal RNA
Source: RNAcentral